Molecule: long non-coding RNA, 2638 nt
Organism: Megalobrama amblycephala (Wuchang bream)
Lineage: Eukaryota; Metazoa; Chordata; Actinopteri; Cypriniformes; Xenocyprididae
Exons: 3
Source: RefSeq, a predicted model, not a curated record
UCUGUUUUGAGUUAUGUUUUCAAGUGAAGAGACGCCAUACUGUUCCACUCAAAGAUGAGAUGUAAUCUCUAGCGUUUGGAGCUGUGAUUCUUCAGGACAAGAUGCCAUUCACACUUGAUACAUGAAGAUGGAUCUCAGGGAUCCCCAGUUGAAGGCAUCAGGACAUCAGAUGUUGGCCUGGACAGAUGUACCAACAGUUCACCACAAUGACCUCUGCUUUUAAAUGGAUGGCUGAUUACUACCAUGCUCUGUGAGGGUAUUACUAUAGCAAAACUGAGCACCUGUGAUAGUGGGAUUUCUAAUUUUAAAGAAUAGUCAAACAUCAGUAAAUUAUUCUUUAUUUUUUUAUUAAAAAAAUUUAAAGAAUUUUUAAAAGUUGCAAACUUCUUUUCUCCAGUUACAAAAACAGCUGUUACACCUUUUCAGAUUCUUUAUUGGAGGUGCACAAAUCCUAUUUCACAAAUUAAGAAAUUAAUAUGCUCACAUUUAAGCCGUGUUCUUCGGACACUGUAACAGUCCUGAUAUGUCACACUUUGCAGCAUCUUUUUUAUUAACAUGAAUUCAAAUUUUAACAAACAGUAAUAUAUUCAAAAUGUAAAGAUAUACAAUCUGACAGUCUGAUCUUGUCAUUAUUAAUCAAUCAGUAAUCAACACUGCACCACCCUGAAAUUACAUGCACUGUAGAAGUAUGGUUUAGGCAAGAAAUGAACAGUAGCUAAAUAUUUAUUAUAAAUGCUACUAUUUGACAUUCAAUAUUUUAGUCUAUAUUAAAGGGAUACAAGUCUCUUUUAUGUAUGAUGUUUUUUUUAUUACAAACUGUUUUUUUUUUUUUUUGUAGCUAGCACUUAAUAUUUCUUUAAUGUUACCACUUAAGAAUAGCCAAACAGUGUAGGUGAUUCACAAAAUCAUACACAAAGAAAUGUGCAUGAUUGGCCAAAUUUUUCUGAUCUACAAAAAAAUUGAGCCUAUGAGUUUCUUAAUUUGUGAUUUGCAGAAUAGGUUUAGUGCACCUGCAAUGAGAAAAAUUUAAAGGCAGUGGCUAUUUGCACUAAGUGACAAUAGCACAUUUUCUUACACUAGGUGAAAAUAGUGAUAGAUUCUAUUUACACCAUGUAAAGUAUCAGUUCUUUGCAAUAAGAAUAAAUAGAUGCUAUCUAUAGGCCUACUUAAUAUUGGCAGAUACUAUUUGCACCUCAGUAUUUUUGUACAUUAACAGGAUGCAAUAAUAUAGAGUGUAAAUGAUUGUAUUUAUUAAAAUUAAAUGGAUGCUGCCUUAUUGGUAGAAUAAAACCCUCCCUACACCUUCUCCUAACUACCCAAUAAACACCUUUAAUAUUAUUAAACACUCAUUUGCAGAUUAUUUCCUCUUUUAGAACAUUAUUUUCAUUUUUAUUGAAAAUAAAUGCGAGCUUAGCAAAAGGCAGAUUUGAACCUGCAUCAAAAGCAAGAACUCUCUACUCGCUACUGCUGUGUCACUGAAGACGUUGCCUUCUGUGCUUCUUUUUUAAAACUUUUUAAAACUUGAGUGGCCCAAAAGCUAGUGUAAAUAGCGUUUGCCAACAAGGGACGCUAUUUGCACUUUAUGUAAAUAGACACUCCGAAAUUUAAAAGGUGUAACUGUUGUGUUGUGUUUUUGAGAGAGAAAGGAACUAAGUUUUCAACUCCUAAAACAUUUUGAUGACUUCACUGAAAUAUUGUCUACACCUUCCACUGUCAGUUGCUCAGUUUCACUACAAUAAUGCCAGAUACAAUACAGCAUGUGCAUAAUUGAGUCUCUAUUCUAACAGAUGGGGGCUAUAGACUUAUAAUAAAUGAGCAAUAUUAUAAUAAAUAUGCACAUUGCUUUCUGUAUUCACAGUUUUAUUUUUACGCUGCUAGAGAACCACCUGCACUGCAAAUUUUCAGGAUUGACAUUCGCAUUUAUCCAGUUACAGGAGUGAAUCUGUUAAAUCAUUGGGGCACUUCAUGAAUUGACACUGGUUUACAUUUAGCUAAAAAUGAAAUAUUUUAAUUUUGAUAUGUCAAUAAUAAUUAUAAAAUAAAUUAAAAUAUUAAUAAACUUUGAAAUUAAAAAGGUAAUUAAAAAAUAUAUUUCAUUGUCCAUGGUAUUGAAAUUGUGGGUUACAUCUUUGUCACCCUUUUCACCCCUGAUGAGUUUACAUUCCUGUUACAAGAGCAAGGAACUUACAUUUUAAUUGCAAAGGAAAACCAAUUCAUCUGCUAUAUUCUUCUGUCCUCCAAGGGUAAGAUUUCUUUAUAAAUCAUCUACUGACCCAUAUGUCUUUAUUUUUGUUGAACACAAAAGGAGAGAGUCGUAUAGUCUCAGUCACAGAAGCAGUGAUAGUGAAUUCUGACUCAGUCUGUCAGUCUCUUGAUGUUCUGCCUUACAUCUCCUUUUGUGCUCCAAUAAAAAUAACACAUUUGGUACAAAAGAACAUGACCAGUUUUAUACUUGAGUAAAUAUUGCUUUUAAUUUGUAACUUAUUAUUUAUAAUAGGCUAUAAUUAACUUUUAUACCUCUUUGUGUGUAUUUGAGUGUAAAUGCCUUUUCUAUGUUAGUCUUGUAUAGAAGGUUUACUCUAACGAUGUAGGCUAUUUGUAACUGUAUUUUGUAAAUAAUAAAGCAAUGUUAACUGAA